Molecule: transfer RNA, 73 nt
Filed under: Sphaerodactylus townsendi
Lineage: Eukaryota; Metazoa; Chordata; Lepidosauria; Squamata; Sphaerodactylidae
Description: tRNA-Thr
Rfam family: tRNA
About the family: Transfer RNA (tRNA) molecules are approximately 80 nucleotides in length.
Source: RNAcentral
AGAGGCUAUGGCUCAGUGGUAGAGCAUCUGCUUGGUAUUUAGAAGGUCUCUGGUUCGAUCCCCAGCAUCUCUA